GAUGAAGAACGUAGCGAAAUGCGAUACGUAAUGUGAAUUGCAGAAUUCAGUGAAUCAUCGAGUCUUUGAACGCACAUUGCGCCCCCUGGUAUUCCGGGGGGCAUGCCUGUCCGAGCGUCAUUGCUGCCCUCAAGCACGGCUUGUGUGUUGGGCCUCCGUCCUCCUCCCGGGGGACGGGCCCGAAAGGCAGCGGCGGCACCGCGUCCGGUCCUCGAGCGUAUGGGGCUUCGUCACCCGCUCUUGUAGGCCCGGCCGGCGCUUGCCGACACAUCAAUCUUUUUUCCAGGUUGACCUCGGAUCAGGUAGGGAUACCCGCUGAACUUAAGCAUAUGAAUAAGCGGAGGA
This 345-nucleotide unclassified non-coding RNA is filed under the name soil metagenome. Its description in RNAcentral is "partial contains 5.8S ribosomal RNA, internal transcribed spacer 2, and large subunit ribosomal RNA". The stretch from base 1 to 120 matches the Rfam family "5.8S ribosomal RNA", at positions 35 to 154 of the family's 154-position model. The record is from RNAcentral.